Molecule: long non-coding RNA, 542 nt
Filed under: Mus spicilegus (steppe mouse)
Lineage: Eukaryota; Metazoa; Chordata; Mammalia; Rodentia; Muridae
Description: lncRNA (ENSMSIG00000009256.1)
Source: RNAcentral
GUUUACUUUAAAAAAUCAAGCCUGGCUUGAAAACAGAGGCCAGUGGAUACUUGUUGGCAGCCUUCUCUGACAGAGCCUGCACCAGCAUCAAGGGCCUGAUUGGAGUCCCCACCCACCGCAUGGCCAAAAGCAAAUUCUAAUCAGGAGACAAAAUCACAUGGAAGGCAGAAAGUAUGGAAAAGGGGCCAUCUACUAUGAAAAAGAUGCGGGUACAAUUUGUGAGACUUCAGGGCGAGUUUUCAUCGGCAGCAAGAACUACCUGUCCUGUCUGCUGCAGCUCAGAGAUCCAGUGGCCAUCCUUGUGCAGGAAAUGGAAGCAGCCUCCUUAUAACCCCCAUUAAUGUAGAUGCCUGUGAACACCAAUGGAGAACAUCUGAUCCAUUGGAGUUGAAGUUAGAACUACGUGCUCUUAAUGACUGCACCAUCUCUCUGGUCCUAUCUUAUUCUUCUCUGACAGACACCAGAUGGACAUUCAUCAAUGCAUAAAUGCAAAGUGCACCUUAUAAAUCCAAUGACCUUAUCCUCUUCCUCCUCAGCAAGAG